AACGAACGCUGGCGGCAUGCCUAACACAUGCAAGUCGAACGAGACCUUCGGGUCUAGUGGCGCACGGGUUCGUAACGCGUGGGAACCUGCCCUUAGGUUCGGAAUAACUCCCCGAAAGGGGUGCUAAUACCGGAUAAUGUCUUCGGACCAAAGAUUUAUCGCCUUUGGAUGGGCCCGCUUUGGAUUAGCUAGUUGGUAGGUUAAAAGCCUACCAAGGCGACGAUCCAUAGCUGGUCUGAGAGGAUGAUCAGCCACACUGGGACUGGGACACGGCCCAGACUCCGCCGGAAGGCAGAAGUGGGGAAGAUGGAACAAUGGGCGAGAGCUUAAUCCAGUAAGGCCGCGUGAGUGAUGAAGGCCUGAGGGUUGAAAGGCUCUUUACCCGGGAUGAUAAUGACAGUACCGGGAGAAUAAGCUACGGCUAACUCCGUG
Molecule: ribosomal RNA, 432 nt
Filed under: uncultured bacterium
Lineage: Bacteria
Description: partial 16S ribosomal RNA
Rfam family: Bacterial small subunit ribosomal RNA
Source: RNAcentral